RNAcentral lists this long non-coding RNA (397 nucleotides) under Salvator merianae (Argentine black and white tegu). RNAcentral describes it as "lncRNA (ENSSMRG00000015402.1)". The record is from RNAcentral. Lineage: Eukaryota; Metazoa; Chordata; Lepidosauria; Squamata; Teiidae.
GAAGCAACAAAGCUGAAAUACAACCAGAAUUGAAAUCUUCCUUUUGCCUGUCCUAAGUGGAAUCCAGAAAAGAAACAUCCACAUUGGGAGAAAAGGGCACUCAGUGAGGUCCCAAGAAGCAUGGCAUCUGUGUGUCCAUCUUCAGAUCUGCAGCCCGAUUGCAGCAGGCAGAAAAUGCCUUCAGAGAUUGCAGGGGUUUGCUGUCAUGCAGAAACUACCAAAGAACCUAUUGGAAAGUUCUUGGAAGAGCUGCCAGACAUUACCACGGGCAGAUUAAAAUGGUGAGCAUAUGGCCAUACAUUCACAAGAAGCUGAAUGCGAUAACUACAAAAAAUUAAACUUUCUGAUUUUUUUAUUCUUUAAAGAAAUUUGUAAUAAAAUGUUAUUUUCCACUACA